CCUACGGGCGGCUGCAGUGGGGAAUAUUGGACAAUGGGCGAAAGCCUGAUCCAGCCAUGCCGCGUGUGUGAAGAAGGCCUUCGGGUUGUAAAGCACUUUCAGUGGGGAAGAAAGCCUUGGGGCUAAUACCCUCGAGGAAGGACAUCACCCACAGAAGAAGCACCGGCUAACUCCGUGCCAGCAGCCGCGGUAAUACGGAGGGUGCGAGCGUUAAUCGGAAUUACUGGGCGUAAAGCGCGCGUAGGCGGUCUGAUAAGCCGGUUGUGAAAGCCCCGGGCUCAACCUGGGAACGGCAUCCGGAACUGUCAGGCUAGAGGGCAGGAGAGGAAGGUAGAAUUCCCGGUGUAGCGGUGAAAUGCGUAGAGAUCGGGAGGAAUACCAGUGGCGAAGGCGGCCUUCUGGACUGACACUGACGCUGAGGUGCGAAAGCGUGGGUAGCAAACAGGAUUAGAUACCCCUGUAGUC
This 465-nucleotide ribosomal RNA is filed under the name Vreelandella stevensii. RNAcentral's name for it is "partial 16S ribosomal RNA". It matches the Rfam family "Bacterial small subunit ribosomal RNA", at positions 338 to 795 of the family's 1533-position model. The record is from RNAcentral. Lineage: Bacteria; Pseudomonadati; Pseudomonadota; Gammaproteobacteria; Oceanospirillales; Halomonadaceae.